This 245-nucleotide long non-coding RNA is filed under the name Lathyrus oleraceus (garden pea). RNAcentral's name for it is "Pisum sativum (pea) long non-coding RNA (PSAT_LNC023745)". The record is from RNAcentral. Lineage: Eukaryota; Viridiplantae; Streptophyta; Magnoliopsida; Fabales; Fabaceae.
AAAUCAAAUAUCUCUAUUUUGAUCGAAUGGAAAGUGAUACAAGAGAGAUUUUUGAAUGUCGAUAACAACAUGAAACUCCACAUUAAAGAACAAUUGAGGAAAAUUGUUUAUCUGAAAACCACCGACUUGAAACCACCCUCUCAACCGAUAAAAAUAAAAGGUGCUCCGAAGAAGCUCAAAUCUACACUGAGUGACAACUCAACGGUGCGGUCUCCUUCGUGUUUUGAUCAUGCUGACAGUUUUCC